UACGGGGGGAGCAAGCGUUGUUCGGAUUUACUGGGCGUAAAGGGAGCGUAGGUGGCGGGGCAAGUCAGGUGUGAAAUCUCGGGGCUCAACCCCGAAACUGCACUUGAUACUGCCUCGCUUGAGUACUGGAGAGGAGACUGGAAUUUACGGUGUAGCAGUGAAAUGCGUAGAUAUCGUAAGGAAGACCAGUGGCGAAGGCGAGUCUCUGGACAGUUACUGACGCUGAGGCACGAAGGCCAGGGGAGCAAACGGG
RNAcentral lists this ribosomal RNA (253 nucleotides) under uncultured bacterium. RNAcentral describes it as "partial 16S ribosomal RNA". It matches the Rfam family "Bacterial small subunit ribosomal RNA", at positions 524 to 776 of the family's 1533-position model. The record is from RNAcentral.